UCCUGCUCAGGUCGAAUGGUGAAUGCAGCUGGGCAGAGCCUCGCUGCAUUCGCCAUCCUUUGCAGGAUAAAGCCGAUAUUUUAAGACAGUAACCAGCUAUUCCCUGUAUAUAUUUAACUAUUGGGUUAGACAAAAAUAUGAUUGCUGUUAUUUUACUUAACACUGAGGUAAACUAACUAAAAUGUUGAUUCAAAAGGCGAAGACGUGAAGAGCAGCUUGUUUUAAAGAUUGGGACAGAUUGAUGAGAAGCAUGUUGGAUAUGGGACAGAUUAACUAGCAUUCUUUAAAUGCGAGGGAAGAUCAACAACUGAACAAGUCAUAUUUUCCGAUUUACCAUACGUUUGUAACACAAUGUUGGAAAUAUAUAAAAAGAAGUUAAAAGUGAAAACUGUAGAACAUGAAGUGAGGUAGACUGCCAGUUCAAGCCCAGUGAGGGGACGCAGUCUUGAUAACAGGGUUGAAAAGACAGCGACCGAAAAUGGCGUUGACGAAAAUCAAAGGACUCCAGAUGUGGUGUCGCAAGAUGAGCGAUGGAUACCGUGACGUUGAGGUCAAGGACAUGACCUCUUCCUUCAAGAGCGGUCUGGCAUUCUGUGCCAUCAUCCACCGAUUUCGGCCAGAUCUAAUAGACUAUGAUUCCCUGUCCAAGGAAAACGUCUUUGAUAACAACAAUUUGGCUUUUACUGUCGCAGAACAGGAACUGGACAUUCCGGCCUUGCUGGAGGCUGCCGACAUGGUGGCCAUGAAAGUUCCAGACAAACUCAGCAUUAUCACCUACGUCUCCCAGUACCACAACUACUUCAGAGACAAACCACAGUUGGGAGGACCUGGUGUGAAGUCUGCCGUGUCUGCUGGCAACGUGUCCCUCAAGCGUCACACAACAUCACCCCCUGCAUCUGCUCCUGAAACCAAACGAUUCACGCCGUCCAAAGACAGCAAUACAGGAAACGUGUCCACUCCAUCGCAGGUAACGAAGAAACAGACAACAAUCGGAGACAAGUGUGACAUCUGCCACAACAAGGUGUACCUGUUAGAGAGACAGAUAGAGAACGGAAAACUCUACCACAGAUCCUGCUACAGACACAGCGAGUUCUCUCCAACAUCGUCUCUCUUCAAAAACUCUUCUUCUUUCUUGUCACACUCGGGUCAUACCGUUAGCUCAGAAAAAGCUAAGAAUACAGAAAACAAACCAUCAUGGGCAAAGGGAGAAGUGACAUCCAAGUCAGAUGCUGCUGCUUCUCAGAGGAUUAGUCCUGACUUGAAGAGAAACUUAUUUCACCAUGAAAAUGAGGUGGAGAUGGCGAAGAGUGAAACGAAAGAAGAUAACGUCAUUACGAGAUACUUGAAUCAGAUGAAGGAGAACGAGAAAGUCGAGGUUCCAAAGUAUCAGAAAAAAAGACCGCUUAUCUUUCAGGUAAAUACUGACAAAGAGGACAAACAACCUGAGACGUCUCGAUCUUCACCGCCACAUUUCAGUUCUAAGGUUCCCAACAAACCUGAAGUUCAGACCACAGAAAACAGAGACGUUAAAGACAGGACUAAACAUGAGGUAAAGACUAGCAUAAUUCCUGGUUCCAAAAGCGAACAGUCACUUAAUGAUAAAAGUGAGUUGUCCAUAGCUGUGAGCAACAGGGGGAUUUCUAAUUCAAAAAGUGUGGACAAUGUGAAAGUGAAUAAUACAUCUGUGGGUGAAAACGUUGCAGUACCGAAACCUAAAGAUCGUAAUGUAGUUAAACAGCAACCACAAAAGAACACUGAUCAGAAACAGGAUUCAGGUGAAGGGAAGAAGCAAGCCAUAAUAAGCCCAGUGACAGCCCACAGGGCUAUGUUCGAUGAUACAAUGCCUGUGAGAAAGCCGGUGUUGGGCAGACCUAAAACUCCUCCUCCUCAACUAUUUAAAGCUGGACAACACCUGUUGAAUACUUCUAGUUCUUCUGAAUCUCCAGACUCCCCGCCCCCUCCUCUUCCAUCAUCUCAACCCCCCUCUGCUCCUUCUAGUGCUGAAAAAUCAAACCUGAAAUCACUUCCCACUUCACCAAAGAAAACGUCACAAAGUAAUAUUGUGUUAAAAACCGAGUUUUCCUUGAGUCCUGUUCCUAAGGCCAGACAGAUGAAGAAGAGUCCUCAACCUGUUAAGCAGGAAUCUCCAACCAGUACACCUGCCAAGCCAUUGAGAGGUGCUGAGACUUCUAAGAGAACAGAGAUACCAAUGGAGGUUGACAAUAAAGUGACUAAACAGACCGAGUCCAUUCCAUCUGAUCCCAAUAAAGAUGGUAAGAAUGUUCUUAGUGGGCUUCUCAAGUCUUUGUCUCAUGUUCGCCAGGCUGAAGAGGUCUAUCCUUCUUCCCAUCCCACAGAUAUGUCUAUGUCUUCUGCUAACUGGAAGGUGUCUGAUGCUAGUCUGUCUUCCACAAACUCCAGUAUUACUAUCAGUUGUACUUCCACAAAAACGAAGUCUAAAGAAACUUCUCAGGUCGGGGAAUCAAAUGUGUUGAAAAAGGUUCAGAAUUCAGAAAUGACAGGCAACAAAAGUGGUUUCUUAAAGAAAGAUGUUAAAAAUAAAUUUGUUCAAGAUUCUAAGCAUCCGGCUCCUGUUCAUAAGAAAGACAUCAGAACUGAAACAAAAUCAGUGGAUAAUAAGAGUCAGGAUGUCGGUGUGUCCAACAGGGUAGGAAACAGAACAAAUGAUAAAUCCAGACUCAAAUCUGCUUUUGUAACAGCAGAUAUGAAGCUUACUGAAGAUGAAAGCUCUAAAAGUGGUGUGAGCUGGAAAAAGGAUUUGGAAAAAAAGGAUAAAUUAAAAUCAAAAUCAACAGAAAAUUUGUGGCAAAGUGACAAAUCAAAAAUGCAACAAGAUGACAACAUUCCAUCAUGGAAAAAAGAACUUGAAAAGGCUAAGAAAUCUAAGGGAUUACCUGAUGGUGAGAAAAGUGUGUCUGCAGCCAAAGAUCAAAAGGCAGCUGAGGUGGUUCCAUCAUGGAAGAAAGAAUUGAAGAAAAAUGAAACUGAAAACGUUAAAAUAAAAUCUAGUCUCUUACAAGGCAAUGGAUUACAUCGUACUGGGGUCAAAGAAGAUGUAUCACAGAAGAAUGAAAAAGUUGUUUCUAAAAUUAAAAUUGACACAGUCCCUAAUGUUCCAUCAUGGAAGAAACAAAAUGAUGAAAAAUCGAACAUUGGUUCUAAGUUGCAGCAGGAGAGUGAAAAACCAUUUUCAAAAGCCGGUGUUACAGAAGAUAACAAAAACCUACCAUUUUGGAAAAAGACAUCUGCAGAGAAAACUGCAGCAAAUUCAGGACCUAGUUUAAUUCAGGACAAAUCAGAGUCUCAAGAUAAGCUAAAAAAUGUGAAAGACAAACCUGUUUCAGAUUUAAGACCAGAAAGCAAAACACCAGUUCCAAAGAAAAGAGGUUUACAUGCUGUCAAUGGUGAAGUUGCUCCAUCGUCGGGCAAGGCGGAUAGACCAAGGAUAACAGAACAUCCUUCACAGAUGGAUGUAGACGGUGAUGCUGCAGAUUGGCAGACGGAGGCAAAACGAAGAUUGCAAAAGAAUCAGAGGCAAUUUGUUGACCCAGAAAGGAGGAAAUCAUCUGAUUUUGUUUCAAAGAAUGAACCCGAGAAAAAGAUGGAUCAACCUCAGACACCAGAAAUUGUAUCAACCAAACAUAAUGAUCCAGGAUCUACGGUUUAUCAUUCGACACCUAAAUCUAGUGAGCAGAAGUCUAGCAUCAAUCAGUCGAUACCAAAGUCUCCGACCUCUCCUCCGUCAAAGGUCCGCGUUCCAGCGCGACCUCCAAGACGACCUCCGUCUCCGCCUCAACAGCGUAAAAAGAUUCCCGUCGACACAAAGUUCAGCUUCUCAUUCAAGCCAUUCUCAUCCACCAAUAACAAUAAACCACCAACUGUCUCCCCGAUAGGGCCUCCAAAGAAUCAGAAUUCACCUCUAAAGCUGACACCACCUAGACCUCCACCUCCAAAGAUUGAGUUUAGUCCGGGUCAACUAAACCCCGUGGAGUUCCAGAAUCAGCUGUGUGACAUUGAUUCCAAACUCAGUGAGCUGGAGCUGAGAGGACGGGAACUGGAGGACUCCAUUAGAAACGAUCAGAGAUCAGUCAAGGGGAAUAAGUACAUUUUUCUAGGCUAGUACAACGGAGGAAGAAGAUGACAUGAUGAUUGAAUGGUUCAAGUUAAUCAGCGCAAAGAAUGAGCUGGUCCGUGCAGAGGCUGACCUCAUCUACAUACAGAAGGAGCAGGAAUUGGAGGAUGAAC
Molecule: unclassified non-coding RNA, 4266 nt
Filed under: Gigantopelta aegis
Lineage: Eukaryota; Metazoa; Mollusca; Gastropoda; Neomphalida; Peltospiridae
Description: mICAL-like protein 1, transcript variant X5
Source: RNAcentral